GCACUGUACUUGUCCUGCAAUUAGUCAUCUCUCACACGGGAGGUCAUGCCUCUGCUUAACCUUGAUCGUGGCUGAUGGUCUAUGCCAGGCAGAAAGUGAAGCUCAAGAUGAGUUUGCUCCUGGCUUUGGGAAUCCUCAGUCUGGACUCUGCCAUGCCUUGCAAGCAGAAAGAUGCCACGUGAAUUCUGGAGCUGCAGAAGUUCUGUGACAUCAGAUGACCACCUCCACUGUCUUCCAGUGUGUGUGCACACUUGUGUGUGUGCACAAAGGGCCAAGAGGAGAGUCUACUCACUUCUAAAAGUGUGGGUUUUUAAGAAGCUUGAAAACAGAAGCCUGGAAUGUGGAGCUCUAAUGCACUUGGAAAUGCUUCUGUUACCAUUCCUGCUCGUCAGAAAUACUGCUUGGUUCCAUCGUAUGGCAGGGGAGUGGCUGUUCACCGAAAAUGAAUAAUCCUGGAAUGAAGUUCGGGAUAGUGUGUCACUCUAGAAAGAGAAGUGGCCUUCUGGGCAGUCUUAGAACUUAUAUGAAUUUUUGAGUGUAUGAAAUAAAUGGAUCAAAAGUGAAUAAAACA
This 571-nucleotide long non-coding RNA is filed under the name Lonchura striata (white-rumped munia). RNAcentral describes it as "domestica (Bengalese finch) lncRNA (ENSLSDG00000014178.1)". Lineage: Eukaryota; Metazoa; Chordata; Aves; Passeriformes; Estrildidae. The record is from RNAcentral.